UAAGCAUAUCAAUAAGCGGAGGAAAAGAAACCAACAGGGAUUGCCCCAGUAACGGCGAGUGAAGCGGCAAAAGCUCAAAUUUGAAAUCCUCAGGGAAUUGUAAUUUGAAGAUGUUUGGGUCAAGGCUAGCAGAGGUUAAGUCCACUGGAACGUGGCGCCACAGAGGGUGACAGCCCCGUGAACCUCCUAAAGCCCCUUAUCCCUCUCAUCCAAGAGUCGAGUUGUUUGGGAAUGCAGCUCUAAGUGGGUGGUAAAUUCCAUCUAAAGCUAAAUACCGGCGAGAGACCGAUAGCGAACAAGUACAGUGAUGGAAAGAUGAAAAGCACUUUGAAAAGAGAGUGAAAAAGUACGUGAAAUUGUUGAAAGGGAAGGGCUUGCAAGCAGACACUUAAUUGGGCCAGCAUCGGGGCGGCAGGGAGAAAACCUCCCGGGAAAUGUACCUCUCGAGUGUUAUAGUCCCGGGCAUCCUCUCCCAUUCUGCCCCGAGGCCUGCGUAUCUAGGAUGCUGGCGUAAUGGUUGCAAGUCGCCCGUCUUGAAACACGGACCAAGGAGUCUAACGUCUAUGCGAGUGUUUGGGCGCCAAACCCAUACGCGCAAUGAAAGUAACCGGAGCGAACCGUUUGGUGCAGCUCCAGCCACACCAAGGCCUAAACCCUGGUGUGAGCAAGCAUGGCUGUUGGGACCCGAAAGAUGGUGAACUAUACCUGGAUAGGGUGAAGCCAGAGGAAACUCUGGUGGAGGCUCGUAGCGGUUCUGACGUGCAAAUCGAUCGUCGAAUCUGGGUAUAGGGGCGAAAGACUAAUCGAACCAUCUAGUAGCUGGUUCCUGCCGAAGU
Molecule: ribosomal RNA, 836 nt
Filed under: Metschnikowia pimensis
Lineage: Eukaryota; Fungi; Ascomycota; Pichiomycetes; Serinales; Metschnikowiaceae
Description: LSU rRNA
Rfam family: Eukaryotic large subunit ribosomal RNA
Source: RNAcentral